GUGCCAGCAGCCGCGGUAAUACAGAGGGGGCAAGCGUUGUUCGGAAUUACUGGGCGUAAAGGGCGCGUAGGCGGCCUGUUAAGUCAGACGUGAAAUCCCUCGGCUCAACCGGGGAACUGCGUCUGAUACUGGCGGGCUUGAAUUCGGGAGAGGGAUGUGGAAUUCCAGGUGUAGCGGUGAAAUGCGUAGAUAUCUGGAGGAACACCGGUGGCGAAGGCGGCAUCCUGGACCGACAUUGACGCUGAGGCGCGAAAGCCAGGGGAGCAAACGGGAUUAGAAACCCCCGUAGUCC
RNAcentral lists this ribosomal RNA (292 nucleotides) under uncultured bacterium. Its description in RNAcentral is "partial 16S ribosomal RNA". It matches the Rfam family "Bacterial small subunit ribosomal RNA", at positions 505 to 796 of the family's 1533-position model. The record is from RNAcentral.